AGCGUCAACAGAACGGCAUGUCAUGGAGAAGCAGCAGCAGCAGUAACAAGCGAGGGUGCGUGGGUGAACGGAGAGUCAAAAUAAUGUGAUGAGUGCCUCUACUGGAGGAGGAAUGAGAGGUGAAGAAUGAAGAGCGGAGCAGCUCCACAGCUGACGGAGCCGCCUGUCCUUCAGCUCGCUGCACCUCGACUGCUCGGGCUUCAACACCUCCAGCAGCCUCUCGCUUGGCCGAACUCCAAGUGCCGCCAAGGCUGAGAUGUUUGCUGCCUUGACAAAGCCUCGGGGCAUCGGAGCAAAUCCAGCCUGUUCUGGACUUUCCCUAAUCAGCCGCUGUCCAUCAUGGCUGCCCCCGCUCUACUGCUGCUGAGUCCGUUGAUCUGGAGAACAGCUCAAGAGAAACCCAGACACGAGGGCAGAAGUAAAGAUUUUGGAAGUCACCUUGGCUCAAGCCAGCAGGCUUUAACUUCCUGUUUCCCAUCCAACACCGUCUAUUUUGCAUAGUAUUUUCAUAUAUUUUCCAUUAAUGGACUGGACUUCAUUCAUAUGCUCUAUUCAGCAUUUCUAUUUAGUGCAACUGCCCAUAAGAAAGGUACCCUGCACUCUCACCCAUGCAUUUCAAGAUUAAGCCUUCUGAGCUUCCUGCUCUCUA
This is a long non-coding RNA of Scatophagus argus, 649 nucleotides long. RefSeq lists it as uncharacterized. The transcript has 3 exons. The record is from RefSeq and is a predicted model, not a curated record. Lineage: Eukaryota; Metazoa; Chordata; Actinopteri; Scatophagidae.